GAUGCCAAUGUCGCCACAAGAGUCUCUGGACCUCUUGUGUGUAUCAAAGUUUGAACUGAAGUAGGGCUGUCAAAAUUAACGUGAUAAUAACGAGAUUUAGGUAAAUUCAUUUUGAACACCACUUAUGUUCCUGAUGCGUGAUUAACGUGUUCUGUGAUUUGGUCCUCGUGCUGCCCCUUAGUUUGUAAAAUCAUGAAGCGUUGCAGCAGUAAUCUUGUGGAUGGCUAGCAGAAACCAAGCUCCUUGGAAGAAAUGCAUAAAGCAGAAGGGUGUUUUGAAUGCCACCGGAGUACGUCGAGUCUCAGAAUCCCCUCUGCUGGCCCGGCAUACGGCGGACGCAGUGAACCCUCCUCCCCUCGCCACAGGCACGCCACGCCUGGACAACUCUGCAAGCAACAAACUUUCAACAGUGACAGUAUUUGUCAUUGUUGUAGACUGUUGCAAUAAUAAUAAACAUUUGCAUAAAGCAAGCAUAUUUGUCUGCGUCCAUGUUGAUGAGAGCAUUAAAAACUUG
Etheostoma spectabile (orangethroat darter) is the source of this 514-nucleotide long non-coding RNA. RefSeq lists it as uncharacterized. The record is from RefSeq and is a predicted model, not a curated record. The transcript is spliced from 2 exons. Lineage: Eukaryota; Metazoa; Chordata; Actinopteri; Perciformes; Percidae.